GCCAGACUCCUACGGGAGGCAGCAGUGGGGGAUAUUGCACAAUGGGGGGAACCCUGAUGCAGCGACGCCGCGUGGGUGAAGAAGCGCCUCGGCGCGUAAAGCCCUUUCAGCAGGGAAGAAAAUGACGGUACCUGAAGAAGAAGCCCCGGCUAACUACGUGCCAGCAGCCGCGGUAAUACGUAGGGGCAAGCGUUAUCCGGAUUUACUGGGUGUAAAGGGGGCGCAGACGGCGAUGCAAGCCAGGAGUGAAAGGCCGGGGCCCAACCCCGGGACUGCAUUUGGAACUGGGUAGCUGGAGUGUCGGAGAGGCAGGCGGAAUUCCUAGUGUAGCGGUGAAAUGCGUAGAUAUUAGGAGGAACACCAGUGGCGAAGGCGGCCUGCUGGACGAUGACUGACGUUGAGGCUCGAAAGCGUGGGGAGCAAACAGGAUUAGAUACCCCCGUAA
RNAcentral lists this ribosomal RNA (445 nucleotides) under uncultured bacterium. RNAcentral describes it as "partial 16S ribosomal RNA". It matches the Rfam family "Bacterial small subunit ribosomal RNA", at positions 330 to 793 of the family's 1533-position model. The record is from RNAcentral.